CUUUAAUCUUACCAGAGGAACCUGCGUCUUAACUCGAAACUACCCGUUUAAUUUUACUUAAAUAUUUGUUUGUAUAUCGUCGUAAAAAUAAAACUUUAAAGUGUAUAUUUAAAUUUAUUUAAUGAAAAAUUACAGAUCAAGGUUCAGCUGUGUUUAAGAGAACGUGAGUUACAAUGUUUUGUAAACAUAUGAAUAAUCUUUUGAAAUGAGGAUUUGAAGGUGGAUUUGAAAGUAUAUUAGAAGUAAAAGGUGUAAUUGAAUUAGCAAUAAAGCAUG
RNAcentral lists this ribosomal RNA (276 nucleotides) under Androctonus amoreuxi. Its description in RNAcentral is "partial small subunit ribosomal RNA". The record is from RNAcentral. Lineage: Eukaryota; Metazoa; Arthropoda; Arachnida; Scorpiones; Buthidae.